GCUGAUGUAGCUCAGUUGGUAGAGCAGCUGACUUGUAAUCAGCCGGUCGGGGGUUCGACUCCUCUCAUCAGCU
RNAcentral lists this transfer RNA (73 nucleotides) under Saccharophagus degradans 2-40. It matches the Rfam family "tRNA". From Rfam's summary of the family: Transfer RNA (tRNA) molecules are approximately 80 nucleotides in length. Their secondary structure includes four short double-helical elements and three loops (D, anti-codon, and T loops). Lineage: Bacteria; Pseudomonadati; Pseudomonadota; Gammaproteobacteria; Cellvibrionales; Cellvibrionaceae. The record is from Rfam by way of RNAcentral.